CAUUAAGAAGCUAUGAAUCAGCACUAGCCUUUUAAGCUAAAGAGAGAGGGAUUCCCCUCCUUAAUGA
RNAcentral lists this transfer RNA (67 nucleotides) under Pucrasia macrolopha. RNAcentral's name for it is "tRNA-Lys". The record is from RNAcentral. Lineage: Eukaryota; Metazoa; Chordata; Aves; Galliformes; Phasianidae.